Molecule: ribosomal RNA, 251 nt
Filed under: uncultured bacterium
Lineage: Bacteria
Description: partial 16S ribosomal RNA
Rfam family: Bacterial small subunit ribosomal RNA
Source: RNAcentral
GACGGGGGGGGCAAGUGUUCUUCGGAAUGACUGGGCGUAAAGGGCACGUAGGCGGUGAAUCGGGUUGAAAGUGAAAGUCGCCAAAAAGUGGCGGAAUGCUCUCGAAACCAAUUCACUUGAGUGAGACAGAGGAGAGUGGAAUUUCGUGUGUAGGGGUGAAAUCCGUAGAUAUUGGAAGGAAUACCGAUGGCGAAGGCAGCUUUCUGGCACGUAACUGACACUGAGAUUCGAAAGCGUGGGUAGCAAACAGG